CUGCCUAGUAUGGAGGAGGGGAUAAAAAGGUCUGCCUGCAGAGGGGAGGAGCUAAGGGCUGCCUGGUGUGGGGACAGCCCCUUCUGCUGUGACCUGGGUGGAUAUCUGGGCUUGCGAUGUGCCUUUUGGAUUCUCCCUGAGCUGCUUCCUAUUCCUUUGACACUGCAGCCCUUCUGGCCCCUGGGCACUGGAGUGGCACGGGGCUUCCUGGCAGCCUUUGAUGCAGCCUGGAUGGUGAAGCGGUGGGCAGAGGGUGCUGAGUCCCUAGAGGUGUUGGCUGAGCGUGAGAGCCUGUACCAGCUUCUGUCACAGACGUCCCCAGAAAACAUGCAUCGCAAUGUGGCCCAGUAUGGGCUGGACCCAGCCACCCGCUACCCCAACCUGAACCUCCGGGCAGUGACCCCCAAUCAGGUCAGACCCCUGACACACCCACCAGCCUUCCCAAGCCAACCCCCUUCCCCCAGGUCAGGCCUUCCCUGCCCAGUCGCUGCCCUUUGGGGUCAGUCCUACCCCCGGCAGGCCCUUACCCCUGGACUCAGGGGCUGUGUGGCCAGCCUGCCUUGAGACCUGAGCGGGGCUGCCUUAGGUACGAGACCUGUAUGAUGUGCUAGCCAAGGAGCCUGUGCAGAGGAACAACGACAAGACAGAUACAGGGAUGCCAGCCACCGGUGAGCAGUCCUUCCUCCCAAGGGGUGACCAAAAUAUGUACUACCCAGCGAGGCCCAGGUGGUCCCCGCAAAGCAGCUGCAGCCUCAGGACAGGAGCAGCGUGCCGGAGCACUCAUUGUUGGCUGGUGGGUUGGUUGGGGGCCUGCUGGAGGAACGGAGGGGCAGCACCGCACAGGCAGCAGUUGGCUGCCAGUCUGAAUGUAAGCGCAUUAGUGUUUGAACCACUGUUACAGCCAUAGUGGUGCGGGCAACCUCCCCUGCCCCCAGUUUAGUCUGCUGCCCUCUAUGUGGCCAGUUGCGAUUUCACUUUAUUCACUCCUCUACUUUAUUCCAAAGAGAUUUUUUUUUAAAGAGAAUUGGGAUGGAGGGCUGCUGAUAGUGAGCUUUAGGCUGGUGCCCUAGUAGAGGUGGGUCCCUGACUCCUCCUCCCCUACAGAACCCCCACAUGCAGCAGCUGGGCUCCCUAUAUGCCUGGGAUGGGCAGAGGGGGCCUUGGGCACAGCGCAGCCUUCUUUCCCAGGGUCAGCAGGCACCCAGGAGGAGCUGCUACGCUGGUGCCAGGAGCAGACAGCUGGGUACCCGGGAGUCCACGUCUCCGAUUUGUCUUCCUCCUGGGCUGAUGGGCUAGCUCUGUGUGCCCUGGUGCACCGGCUGCAGCCUGGCCUGCUGUGAGUCCCUGGCAGACCCACCUCUCUCUCAUGAUCUCAGUGUAGGAGUUAGCAUAUCCAGUUGAAUCCUAGAGACACUGUGCUUCCCUGCAUCUGCCGACAGUCUUGUGAGACUCUAAUGCAUUCAGAUAGUGGAGAGCUUUGUGAAUGGCACAGGCCCCCAAAGCCAGGAGUAGUGUCACUGGGUUGGGCACUGGGUAGCAGAGACUACACACCUACCUUCAAGCCUUCUUGUACCCCAGCUGCUGCUUGCUGUCCCUCCCCUCCUGCUGCCCUUCCUCCCCUCAGUGGGGCUAGGUUCUUGUCUCUAGUUGGCUUUUCUCCCUGACAUCCCACAGGGAACCCUCAGAGCUGCAGGGGCUGGGAGCUCUGGAAGCAACUGCUUGGGCACUAAAGGUGGCGGAGAAUGAGCUGGGCAUCACACCGGUGGUGUCUGCACAGGCCGUGGUAGCAGGGAGUGACCCACUGGGCCUCAUUGCCUACCUCAGCCACUUCCACAGUGCCUUCAAGAGCACGGCCCACAGCCCAGGUGACCUGAAGGAAAGGCGGGCAGGAUAACUGGGAUGGGGAGGUGUGUGUGUGUGUGUGUGACAGAGGGAGAAGGCGCCGUGUGUGUGUGUGUGUGAGACAGAGGGAGAAGGUGCCGUGUGUGUGUGUGUGUGUGUGUGUGUGUGUGUGUGUGUGUGUCAGAAAGAGGAAGAAGGCGCCCUCUGAGGGCCAGCCUGGGAGAGGUGUCCUUCUGGGUUGGAGAGUGACUGUCUGUCUGUUCUGGGAGUACAGUAUUGGCACCCCCCAUCCACACUGAUGCCCUGGCUCUCCCCACAGGCCCUGUCAGCCAGGCCUCCCCAGGGACCUCCAGUGCUGUAUUAUUCCUUAGUAAACUUCAGAGGACCCUGCAGCGAUCCCGGGCCAAGGUGGAGAGUUUAGGCAGGGCUGGAGCUGAGCAGGGAGGAGUGGGCAGGGGGUUACCCAGUGGAGAUCCUGGGGUGAUGGUGAAGACAUUCAGAAAGUGGGGAGGACUGGGAGCUCAAAACAUCACACUUAGAGCUGUUAGGACUUAUUGCAGGAAAAUGCAGAGGAUGCUGGUGGCAAGAAGCUGCGCUUGGAGGUGAAUGCAGGCAGGGGUGGGUCGGUCUCCUACCCCACAUUUUAUCCCCUUUCCCGGUACUGUCUUCCCUAUUUCUCAUCCCAUGUCUUGUUCCCCACCCCAGGUCCUAUAACCCCCCCAUCCAGCUUCCCUGCCUAGUCUCACUCCCCUUCCCUUCAGCCCCUUGUGUUCAUCUGUACGCAUCCCCUCCCAGCUGGCCCUGCCCCUCUACCCUCCCUGCCUGAGCACUUACCUCCUUAGAUGGAGGCCGAGACCCCAAGUACUGAGGUGCCACCUGACCCAGAGCCUGGUGUACCCCUGACACCCCCAUCCCAACACCAGGAGGUGAGAGCCAGGCUUCGUGUGCAGGCAGAAGCCUGGGGAGGGCAGGGCAGGGGCGUUUCAUGGGAGGGAAAGAAGUUUGGAGCUGGCCUUGGCUCCACCUGACCCUGUGUCCUGGGGGUCUACGCAGGCCGGUGCUGGGGACCUGUGUGCACUUUGUGGGGAACACCUCUAUGUCCUGGAACGCCUCUGUGUCAACGGCCAUUUCUUCCACCGGAGCUGCUUCCGCUGCCAUACCUGUGAGGCCACACUGUGGCCAGGUGGCUAUGAGCAGCACCCAGGAGAUGGACAUUUCUACUGCCUCCAGCACCUGCCCCAGCCAGACCACAAAGAGGAAGGCAGCGAUAGAGGCCCUGAGAGUCCGGUAAAGACUGAAGGCGUGUAUGUAUAUUGGGGCAUGGGAAGAGGAAGAGGGUCUCGUCAAACCAGCACUUUGCUGGGGGUAACUGACUGUCUUCUUCUACUAGCAUGUAAGCUCUGUGAAGGCAGGGAUGCCUGUCUGCUUACACUUCUUGUUCUCUCAAGUAUCUAAAACACAGCCAGACACUGUAAAUGGUUUUAAGCGAAUGAAUGCCAAGGCUCACCUUUGCUCCGAAGGGGUAGCCUCACCCCCCGACCUCACUCCACCCUGGGCAGGUCACUGACCAGACCACAUGGUGGCUUUUCCAGGAGCUCCCCACACCAAGUGAGAAUAGCAUGCCACCAGGCCUCUCAACUCCCACAGCCUCGCAGGAGGGGGCCAGUCCUGUUCCAGAUCCCAGCCAGCCCACCCGUCGGCAGAUCCGCCUCUCCAGCCCGGAGCGCCAGCGGUUGUCCUCCCUUAACCUUACCCCUGACCCGGAAAUGGAGCCUCCACCCAAGCCUCCCCGCAGCUGCUCCGCCUUGGCCCGCCACGCCCUGGAGAGCAGCUUUGUGGGUUGGGGCCUGCCAGUCCAGAGCCCUCAAGCUCUUGUGGCCAUGGAGAAGGAGGAAAAAGAGAGUCCCUUCUCCAGUGAAGAGGAAGAAGAAGAUGUGCCUUUGGACUCAGAUGUGGAACAGGCCCUGCAGACCUUUGCCAAGACCUCAGCCACCAUGAAUAACUACCCAACAUGGCGUCGGACUCUGCUGCGCCGUGCGAAGGAGGAGGAGAUGAAGAGGUUCUGCAAGGCCCAGACCAUCCAACGGCGACUAAAUGAGAUUGAGGCUGCCUUGAGGGAGCUAGAGGCCGAGGGCGUGAAGCUGGAGCUGGCCUUGAGGCGCCAGAGCAGUUCCCCAGAACAGCAAAAGAAACUAUGGGUAGGACAGCUGCUACAGCUCGUUGACAAGAAAAACAGCCUGGUGGCUGAGGAGGCCGAGCUCAUGAUCACGGUGCAGGAGUUGAAUCUGGAGGAGAAACAGUGGCAGCUGGACCAGGAGCUACGAGGCUACAUGAACCGGGAAGAAACUCUAAAGACAGCUGCUGAUCGGCAGGCUGAGGACCAGGUCCUGAGGAAGCUGGUGGAUUUGGUCAACCAGAGAGAUGCCCUCAUCCGCUUCCAGGAGGAGCGCAGGCUCAGCGAGCUGGCCUUGGGGACAGGGGCCCAGGGCUAGACAAGGGUGGGCUGUCUGCUUUCGUUCCCACAAAGAAACCACCUCACCCCAGCACAGUGCCACCCCUGUUCAUCUGGGCUGCCUGGCAGAGAGCCUUGCUGUUUACAAUUAAAAUGUUUCUGCCAC
RNAcentral lists this small RNA (4460 nucleotides) under Pan troglodytes (chimpanzee). RNAcentral's name for it is "retained intron". Lineage: Eukaryota; Metazoa; Chordata; Mammalia; Primates; Hominidae. The record is from RNAcentral.